Molecule: long non-coding RNA, 277 nt
Filed under: Trifolium pratense (red clover)
Lineage: Eukaryota; Viridiplantae; Streptophyta; Magnoliopsida; Fabales; Fabaceae
Description: long non-coding RNA (TPRA_LNC010609)
Source: RNAcentral
CUACAAAAAAAUUUGUCUCUUGCGACUGAUUUGUAGCGGCUGCUGUCGCCGCUAUCAUAUUUUCCAGAUACUUUGUGGCUGUUAUCCUAAACCGUCGUGACUUUUUCUACUUUUCGCGCACUCAUAUUCGCUCUAUUUUUCUCUCCGGAAUUUGAAUUUUUCUCAAACCCUUCGUUCUUCACAUAUUCAUUCAAAAUCGAUUCCUUCAAUCCCUUCGUUCUUCACAUAUUUUUUCUCAAACCUUCGUUCUUCGCAGAUUUGUUCAAUCACUCACNNN